AUUCCAGCUCCAAUAGCGUAUAUUAAAGUUGUUGCAGUUAGAACGCUCGUAGUCGGAUUUCGGGGCGGGGCGACCGGUCUGCCGAUGGGUACGCACUGGUCGGCGCGUCCUUCCUUCCGGAGACCGUGCCUACUCUUAACUGAGCGGGGGCGGGAGACGGAACGUUUACUUUGAAAAAAUCAGAGUGUUUCAAGCAGGCAGCUCGCUCUUGCAUGGAUUAGCAUGGGAUAAUGAAAUAGGACUUUGGUGCUAUUUUGUUGGUUUCGAACACCGAAGUAAUGAUGAGAAGGGACAGUCAGGGGCAUUUGCAUUCGACCGAGAGAGGUGAAAUUCUCAGACCAGUCGAAGACAAACUACUGCGAAAGCAUCUGCCAGGGAUGUUUUCAUCG
Molecule: ribosomal RNA, 389 nt
Filed under: Chrysochromulina sp.
Lineage: Eukaryota; Haptophyta; Prymnesiales; Chrysochromulinaceae
Description: partial small subunit ribosomal RNA
Rfam family: Eukaryotic small subunit ribosomal RNA
Source: RNAcentral